RNAcentral lists this ribosomal RNA (520 nucleotides) under uncultured Glomus. RNAcentral's name for it is "SSU rRNA". It matches the Rfam family "Eukaryotic small subunit ribosomal RNA", at positions 569 to 1089 of the family's 1831-position model. Lineage: Eukaryota; Fungi; Glomeromycota; Glomeromycetes; Glomerales; Glomeraceae. The record is from RNAcentral.
AGCAGCCGCGGUAAUUCCAGCUCCAAUAGCGUAUAUUAAAGUUGUUGCAGUUAAAAAGCUCGUAGUUGAAUUUCGGGGUUAGUAGGUUGGUCGUGCCACUGGUAUGUACUGGUCUCACUGAUUCCUCCUUCCUGAUGAACCGUAAUGCCAUUAAUUUGGUGUUGCGGGGAAUCUGGACUGUUACUUUGAAAAAAAUUAGAGUGUUUAAAGCAGGCUAACGCUUGAAUACAUUAGCAUGGAAUAAUGAAAUAGGACGACCGAUCCUAUUUUGUUGGUUUCUAGGAUUGACGUAAUGAUUAAUAGGGAUAGUUGGGGGCAUUAGUAUUCAAUUGUCAGAGGUGAAAUUCUUGGAUUUAUUGAAGACUAACUACUGCGAAAGCAUUUGCCAAGGAUGUUUUCAUUAAUCAAGAACGAAAGUUAGGGGAUCGAAGACGAUCAGAUACCGUCGUAGUCUUAACCAUAAACUAUGCCGACUAGGGAUCGGAUGAUGUUAAUUUUUUAAUGACUCAUUCGGCGCCUU